AGUCCUGAUACUGAGCUACUUUCCCAGAAGGCCCCCCUUCAAGUAUCAUUGCCGCUGUAGCGUUUAACAACCAAGUUCGAGAUGGAUAUUGGAGUGGGUCCACUACGCUAUAAGUAUCA
Molecule: ribosomal RNA, 119 nt
Filed under: Sebdenia flabellata
Lineage: Eukaryota; Rhodophyta; Florideophyceae; Sebdeniales; Sebdeniaceae
Source: RNAcentral